This is a long non-coding RNA of Dreissena polymorpha, 581 nucleotides long. RefSeq lists it as uncharacterized. The transcript has 3 exons. NCBI's taxonomy places the organism in Eukaryota, Metazoa, Mollusca, Bivalvia, Myida, Dreissenidae. The record is from RefSeq and is a predicted model, not a curated record.
CCCAGAUCAUUAUCUCACGCUUUUAUGAAAUUUUGUGUUUAAACCAAGACUCUUCCUAACAAAAAUCCAGUAUCGGCGAACACUUUACACACGUUCAUUAAGCUAAGUUUUCCCAGAAUUUACGGGUCACUUGAUCACGACAUUCCAGUGAAAAUGCGUCACACACAAGCCUACAUCCCUCUGGUAUGUCGAUUGCAGAUCUGAACAUACUGCAAACAUACAAGGAUGCGAACUUCAAAAUCUUCUACCAACGCGUACCAUACGAAGCGUGGUUGACCGUGCUGGCGUUCACCUUGACACUGGGCACCUCAGUAGCCGUUGCUGUCCUAGCACUCAUCUGUGUUCACAUUUAUCUCAAAUUCUGGCUCUUUCACCAUUGAGCUCGUCACUGGUCUACCCUGGGUCAGCACAGUACACACAACACGCUCUGACAAGAACUCAGCCAAGAACAACAACAACGAAUGCAAACUGGAAAUGGUCAAGGAGACCUGUUCCAGCGGCGCCCAAUCUGACAACAGCUCAAUGUGCAGUUAGGGGAUUGUGUCCUUGGCGCGAAGCACUACCAGACUGUAGACAACAAU